This 69-nucleotide transfer RNA is filed under the name Gammarus sp. 2118a. Its description in RNAcentral is "tRNA-Val". Lineage: Eukaryota; Metazoa; Arthropoda; Malacostraca; Amphipoda; Gammaridae. RNAcentral also lists the same sequence under 2 other names. The record is from RNAcentral.
GGUGGUUAAAAUUUUCAUUUACACUGAAGAAUACCUUUUAAGGCACUUUCAUUAGUUAGGGUGAUUUGU